Molecule: signal recognition particle RNA, 274 nt
Filed under: Propithecus coquereli (Coquerel's sifaka)
Lineage: Eukaryota; Metazoa; Chordata; Mammalia; Primates; Indriidae
Description: Metazoan signal recognition particle RNA (ENSPCOG00000011440.1)
Rfam family: Metazoan signal recognition particle RNA
About the family: The signal recognition particle (SRP) is a universally conserved ribonucleoprotein. It is involved in the co-translational targeting of proteins to membranes.
Source: Rfam by way of RNAcentral
GCUGGGCUGUGGCGCGUGCCUGUAGUCCCAGCUUCUUGGGAGACUGAGGUGGGAAAAUUGCUUGAGUCCAGGAGUUCUAGGCUGUAGCGCCCUUUGCCUAUCAGGUGUCCGCACUAAGUUCGGCAUCAACAUGGUGACCUUUCGGGAGUGGGGAACCACCAGGUUGCCUAGGGAGGGGUGAACUGGCCCAGGUCCGACACAGAGCAGGUCACAACUCCUUGCUGCUCAGAAUAUAUGUGGUCAAAGGGCUGGGCCUGGCAUCAGGCGCUGGGUU